RNAcentral lists this ribosomal RNA (497 nucleotides) under uncultured bacterium. RNAcentral's name for it is "partial 16S ribosomal RNA". It matches the Rfam family "Bacterial small subunit ribosomal RNA", at positions 28 to 507 of the family's 1533-position model. The record is from RNAcentral.
GAUGAACGCUGGCGGCGUGCCUAAUACAUGCAAGUCGAGCGAACAGACGAGGAGCUUGCUCCUCUGACGUUAGCGGCGGACGGGUGAGUAACACGUGGAUAACCUACCUAUAAGACUGGGAUAACUUCGGGAAACCGGAGCUAAUACCGGAUAAUAUAUUGAACCGCAUGGUUCAAUAGUGAAAGACGGUUUUGCUGUCACUUAUAGAUGGAUCCGCGCCGCAUUAGCUAGUUGGUAAGGUAACGGCUUACCAAGGCAACGAUGCGUAGCCGACCUGAGAGGGUGAUCAGCCACACUGGAACUGAGACACGGUCCAGACUCCUACGGGAGGCAGCAGUAGGGAAUCUUCCGCAAUGGGCGAAAGCUUGACGGAGCAACGCCGCGUGAGUGAUGAAGGUCUUCGGAUCGUAAAACUCUGUUAUUAGGGAAGAACAACUGUGUAAGUAACUAUGCACGUCUUGACGGUACCUAAUCAGAAAGCCCCGGCUAACUACGUG